CACACGACCGUACCGCAAACCGACACUGGUGCGCGAGAUGAGUAUUCUAAGGCGCUUGAGAGAACUCAGGAGAAGGAACUCGGCAAAUUGACACCGUAACUUCGGAAGAAGGUGUGCCUUUAGUAGGUGAACCUGUACAAGGGGAGCCCAAUGAGGUUGCAAAAAAUCGGUGGCUGCGACUGUUUAAUAAAAACACAGCACUCUGCAAACACGAAAGUGGACGUAUAGGGUGUGACGCCUGCCCGGUGCUGGAAGAUUAAAUGAUGGGGUGCAAGCUCUUGAUCGAAGCCCCAGUAAACGGCGGCCGUAACAAUAACGGUCCUAAGGUAGCGAAAUUCCUUGUCGGGUAGUUCCGACCUGCACGAAUGGCGUAACGAUGGCCACACUGUCUCCUCCUGAGACUCAGCGAAGUUGAAAUGUUUGUGAUGAUGCAAUCUCCCCGCGGAAAGACGGAAAGACCCCAUGAACCUUUACUGUAGCUUUGUAUUGGACUUUGAACAGAUCUGUGUAGGAUAGGUGGGAGGCUUUGAAGUGUGGUCGCUAGAUCGCAUGGAGCCAACGUUGAAAUACCACCCUGGUGUGUUUGAGGUUCUAACCUAGGCCCGUAAUCCGGGUCGGGGACAGUGCAUGGUAGGCAGUUUGACUGGGGCGGUCUCCUCCCAAAGCGUAACGGAGGAGUUCGAAGGUACGCUAGGUACGGUCGGACAUCGUGCUAAUAGUGCAAUGGCAUAGCGUGCUUAACUGCGAGACUGACAAGUCGAGCAGAUGCGAAAGCAGGACAUAGUGAUCCGGUGGUUCUGUAUGGAAGGGCCAUCGCUCAACGGAUAAAAGGUACUCUGGGAUAACAGGCUGAUACCGCCCAAGAGUUCAUAUCGACGGCGGUGUUUGGCACCUCGAUGUCGGCUCAUCUCAUCCUGGGGCUGUAGCCGGUCCCAAGGGUAUGGCUGUUCGCCAUUUAAAGAGGUACGUGAGCUGGGUUUAAAACGUCGUGAGACAGUUUGGUCCCUAUCUUCCGUGGGCGCUGCAGAUUUGAGGAAGCCUGCUCCUAGUACGAGAGGACCGGAGUGGACACACCUCUGGUGUAUCGGUUGUCACGCCAGUGGCAUUGCCGAGUAGCUAUGUGUGGAAGAGAUAACCGCUGAAAGCAUCUAAGCGGGAAACUCGUUUCAAGAUGAGAUCUGCCGGGGCCUUGAGCCCCCUAAAGAGUCGUUCAAGACCAGGACGUUGAUAGGUCGGGUGUGGAAGCGCAGUAAUGCGUUAAGCUAACCGAUACUAAUUGCUCGUGCGGCUUGACCC
Molecule: ribosomal RNA, 1296 nt
Filed under: metagenome
Description: bacterial LSU rRNA
Rfam family: Bacterial large subunit ribosomal RNA
Source: RNAcentral